RNAcentral lists this ribosomal RNA (497 nucleotides) under uncultured bacterium. RNAcentral's name for it is "partial 16S ribosomal RNA". It matches the Rfam family "Bacterial small subunit ribosomal RNA", at positions 28 to 507 of the family's 1533-position model. The record is from RNAcentral.
GACGAACGCUGGCGGCGUGCCUAAUACAUGCAAGUUGAGCGCUGAAGGUUGGUACUUGUACCGACUGGAUGAGCAGCGAACGGGUGAGUAACGCGUGGGGAAUCUGCCUUUGAGCGGGGGACAACAUUUGGAAACGAAUGCUAAUACCGCAUAAAAACUUUAAAAACAAGUUUUAAGUUUGAAAGAUGCAAUUGCAUCACUCAAAGAUGAUCCCGCGUUGUAUUAGCUAGUUGGUGAGGUAAAGGCUCACCAAGGCGAUGAUACAUAGCCGACCUGAGAGGGGGAUCGGCCACAUUGGGACUGAGACACGGCCCAAACUCCUACGGGAGGCAGCAGUAGGGAAUCUUCGGCAAUGGACGAAAGUCUGACCGAGCAACGCCGCGUGAGUGAAGAAGGUUUUCGGAUCGUAAAACUCUGUUGGUAGAGAAGAACGUUGGUGAGAGUGGAAAGCUCAUCAAGUGACGGUAACUACCCAGAAAGGGACGGCUAACUACGUG